GCACUAUACCCUUUGUGACAUACCUAUAACUGUUGCUUCGGCGGGUAGGGUCUCCGCGACCCUCCCGGCCUCCCGCCUCCGGGCGGGUCGGCGCCCGCCGGAGGAUAACCAAACUCUGAUUUAACGACGUUUCUUCUGAGUGGUACAAGCAAAUAAUCAAAACUUUUAACAACGGAUCUCUUGGUUCUGGCAUCGAUGAAGAACGCAGCGAAAUGCGAUAAGUAAUGUGAAUUGCAGAAUUCAGUGAAUCAUCGAAUCUUUGAACGCACAUUGCGCCCGCCAGCAUUCUGGCGGGCAUGCCUGUUCGAGCGUCAUUUCAACCCUCAAGCUCUGCUUGGUGUUGGGGCCCUACAGCUGAUGUAGGCCCUCAAAGGUAGUGGCGGACCCUCCCGGAGCCUCCUUUGCGUAGUAACUUUACGUCUCGCACUGGGAUCCGGAGGGACUCUUGCCGUAAAACCCCCCAAUUUUCCAAAGGUUGACCUCGGAUCAGGUAGGAAUACCCGCUGAACUUAAGCAUAUCAAUAA
RNAcentral lists this ribosomal RNA (525 nucleotides) under Colletotrichum gloeosporioides. RNAcentral's name for it is "eukaryotic LSU rRNA". The stretch from base 161 to 314 matches the Rfam family "5.8S ribosomal RNA". Lineage: Eukaryota; Fungi; Ascomycota; Sordariomycetes; Glomerellales; Glomerellaceae. The record is from RNAcentral.